This 532-nucleotide ribosomal RNA is filed under the name uncultured bacterium. Its description in RNAcentral is "bacterial SSU rRNA". It matches the Rfam family "Bacterial small subunit ribosomal RNA", at positions 777 to 1307 of the family's 1533-position model. The record is from RNAcentral.
AAUAAUACCCCGGUAGUCCACGCCGUAAACGAUGAGUGCUAGGUGUUGGGGGCAUCACGUCCUCAGUGCCAAAGGAAACCCAAUAAGCACUCCGCCUGGGGAGUACGGCCGCAAGGCUGAAACUCAAAGGAAUUGACGGGGGGCCCGCACAAGCGGUGGAGCAUGUGGUUUAAUUCGAAGCAACGCGAAGAACCUUACCAAGGCUUGACAUCCCAUUGACCACACUAGAGAUAGUGCUUCCCUUCGGGGCAAUGGUGACAGGUGGUGCAUGGUUGUCGUCAGCUCGUGUCGUGAGAUGUUGGGUUCAGUCCCGCAACGAGCGCAACCCUUAUCCUUAGUUGCCAGCAGGUAAAGCUGGGCUCUCUAAGGAGACAGCCGGUGAAAGCCGGAGGAAGGUGGGGAUGACGUCAAAUCAUCAUGCCCCUUACGUCUUGGGCUACACACGUGCUACAAUGGAUGGUACAAAGGGCAGCAAAACCGGCGAGGUCGAGCAAAUCCCAUAAACGCCAUUCUCAGUUCGGAUUGUAGGCUG